GAUCCCAUUUUGCAGAAGUCAGCCCGUUCUCCCCUCUCUGAGAGUGUUACUGUGCUUAAUAAGUCUCUUGCUGCUUUGCUACAUGUGUGUGUGUCACUUCCAAUUCUUUGUUAAAGACACCAAGAACCUGGGACUUCACAACACCAGCCGGUAACAAAGAUCUCUGUAAGACACAAAAGUUGGAUGACAGUCGUUUUGAUUCUUGGACUUUACUAGAGACUCCAAAGACGCAUCUGAGGAGAAAAGCUCUGGGUCCCUGGGAUGACUGUGCCACUCGACAUAGCCUCCUGGAGUGGCCAAAGAGAGUGUGGAUAAGAAAAGAAAUAUUGGAGUGAACUUUCACUCACUCCCACUUCUGUAGGUUUCUUAAAAUAUAUGGGUUUAGAAGCAAGAUACUUGGCGUUUUCAAAUGACUCAAAAGAGAUGUAGAUGAAGAGAAGUUCGGUCAUCCCACAGAUCUUCCGGAGUAACCUGGACACAUCCCUAAAUCUCUAGCUCCUGGGUCUUCGAAAGCCUGUUUGCCUCAGGGUUGGGAGGAAAGGGUUUGGAAAGUACCAAGGCAAGCGUUGGCAAAAAGAUUACCUCAUCAGUGAGGAAAUGAAAUUUCCAGAAGUUUUCGCCAGAUCUGGGACCAGAGACAAAUGCUGGAUGAAUUUCCUAUGCAAACCUCUUUUAGAACCACCGCUUCAAAGGCCGUCCAGAGACUUCAAAUUAGAUCUGGUGAAACUGCUCCCGGUAGGGGAUUGGUAGUUCAGCGGUAGAGGUUUUUGUCUCCCACGCCGGCGACUCCGGUACGACUCCCGGCCAUGCAGGACUUCUUACUCUUCCGGCAGGAAGGGCUACUACGUUUCUACCCAACAAAGUUAUUAUAUUAUACAGGCUGUACUGCAUUUAUGGACCUUGGUCGUGGCAGCUAGAAGCUAACCUGAGGGGCGUGCCACCUCUGGAGCAUUCUCUGUGCUCGAACUAAUAAUCCCGGAAUUUACGUUCCUGUGCUCGAAGCCUGUCCUUGAAAGUGGGGAGUGUUUCCGGUGGGUUGCUGCAGUUUUAAAUACUGGGAAUUAAAACCUUUGCUACUUUCAUCUAGUCUCCCGGCAAACCCCUGGGUAACCCAAAGCCCAUCAGAGGGAUUCGCGUGCUGGGCUUUCCGCUACGUUAGGCCACGUCUCACUAUGGAGCGAGGAUCAAGAAGGUCCGGGAAGGAGAGAAGCUGCGGGGUCCAGGGAGACUCUUCGGCGGUUGGUCGGAGAGGUUUCAGCGGCCCAAGGAAAAGGGAAGCGUGUGGGAAUCUAUCCGCGUAGAGAUGAGGGGCGCGGCGGAGACAGUCCCACGCAGAGGUAUGCCCAAACACCGAGUUACUUAACCUCCUCAACCACCUUGGCAUCCGCGCCUUCCGUGGGCCCAUCGGUCUUCCGGGAGAGAUUCUGUGUCCCUGGUAUUGUGUGUCAACAGGUGUUAGCCUGAUAGUUAUAUUUUUAAUGAGAGAAAACGAACUACAGAAUUUGCGAGUUUUGUUUUUUUUCUGGUUUUGCUUUAUACCUCUUGGAUUCUCCUUCCAAAGGAGACAAAAACCUCUACCUCAUUUAAUAUGCUAAUUAGCCUGCAUUUUACAACAGAUUGUAUUAGAGCCUGGAUACACAUCCAACUCGAUUCCAUGUAUGGAGCCGUAGUUGAUUUGGUCAAUAACUUGCAUUGUUCUGCAUGAGAACUUCCACAAUUUGCUUCCUCAUUCUAAUAGGGUUUGCUUGAAUUAUAUGAAAUCACCACCUUUAUUGGUCAAAACCAGCUGAAUAUUGGCAAUUUCAUGUGGUUCAACCUAAUAGUCUGCAGGGGUCUGGGGAGAUCAUAGCAUGUGAAUAUAAUGUUGAAUGAGACAUAGGAAGAAAGAAACAAGAUAGCUGGGACAAAGGGUAUUGAAUGAGUAGAAAAAAAAGUAGUAAUCUUUUUGUUUGGGUUAGGUGUGUGUUCCCAAGGGAAAUAAUUUUUGAGCAUGUAGCUUGAAAGUAAUAAUACCACUUUUAGGUAGUACAAAUGGCUCAGGGGAUCAAUUGGGAUUUAGGGAGCGGGGCUUUUACCUGCAAUCUGUCCAAUUUAGUCAGACUAACUUGCAAUUUUUACACUGUUAAACAUCUUAUAAAUCUGAGACCAACAGAUCAAAGAAAAGCUCUUUCAAUUGAGUGUCUGGGUAACUUGUGGCAAAUUUUUUAUCCCCGUUGUAAUGUGAUUCCUCCAUCUCUAAAGUGAAGGCAUGGAUUACCCACUCAUUCUCAAUCCAAUGUGAAAGGUCCAGAAUUCUGUGUCAGAGUUAAGAGAGUCCUGGUGCAGUCAGCAAGGGAAAGUAAUUUUUCCAAACUGCCUGUGCUAAAAAUAAACCCAGGGUAGUCUCAGGGGAGAGCUACCCAGUCCCUUUCACGGACAGUAAAUUCACUGUGGUGGGAGGUGAAGAUGGACUGAAAACAAAUACCUGAAGAAAGAAAAACAUCCUAAUGCAGGCACCAGUGGUGAGUUGAUGGGAACUGAGCUACCACUGGGAAUGCAUCACCUGAGCAUUUUCUCCAGAGCAGAGUUGUUGGACAAAUCUAUGAGGAGAAAUUCCCACAGCAGGGCACAAUUUGGGCUCUGGCUAAGUUCUUGGAAUGUCAUUUGUCAGCUGUCAGAAUCCUAUAUUCAUAAAGGGAGAGGAAAAGUCUCACUAAAAUGCAACUAAAGAACACACAGCAGCAGAACCUGGUCUCUUCUGUGUUAACAGAACAAACAUGAAAAUAGUUAAGCCAACAUACUUGGAAUUUGUGUCAAUCAUGAUACUUUCAUUGCUCGUCUUGAGUUCUCAUGUCUAUCAUGCCACGGUGAGGCAAUCACUCAGAACAACCCAUGGCAUUUUGCAGAGCACCAAAGAAGAAGAAGUGGUGAAUCAUGGGCCUGAGACUUGGUUACACAGUGUCUUAGAGAAAUAUCCCAGCUCCUUCUCAAGCUACAAAAUUCCUCCUGCUAGGCCAAGAAUAGAUAUGGAAUUUCCUAUCAUCUCUGAAUUUUUAUUUUACUGAGUUGCAAGCAGAGCUCUUUCUCCUAUUGUAUUUAUAUUAUCAUAAAAUUGAUCUUGAGUAUGUAGAACUUAAGAAAGUCUCCAAAGACAGAUCUGGAUGGGCCUCUGUCUUCCAGCUUAUAAGAUGGAUUUUGUAAAAUUUAGCAUAGCUGCUUUUAUUAUUAUAAUACCUAAAAUGUAUGUGAUUAAAUACAUGAACUGCCUCCCUGAAGGUAAGACAGCUUCUAAAUUCUAAAGCUAAAUAAUCUAGCCCACAGGGCCAGACAUAAAAUUGCACCCAGAAAUUCAUACCAAAUGUCAAGUCACUUUGGGGUUACUCCUGAGGGCUCAAUGCUGAUCAUGGUUAGGAAGAGGUAAUUUGCCCCACUGUCUUGCUUGAGGAUGAUUUUUUACUGCCACACAUGGAAAAAGUUGCAGCUAAUUAUAUGAUUGUUCCAAAUUAUGAGUUCUCCUCCCUAAAAGAAGCUUAUAAUUUCCCAUCCCAUUGACAUCAAGCUUGGUCAUGUGACUUGCUUUGGCCAUUGAAAUGUGAGCAAAAGUGACAAUUACCACUUCCCAGUGGAAACUGAGAGCCAUCUUGUGGCUCCACAAUUGCUCUUCUCCCGCUGCCCAAAGAAUGGCAUGACCUAAAUAGGGACUCAAUUUCAGAAUGAAGAUAUGUAGAGCUGCAACUGACCUACAGCCAACCUGUAACAAGAGAGAGAAAUAAAUCCAGAUGGUUGUAAGCCACUGAGAAAUGGUGAUUGUUUGUUACCAGAGUAUAACAUAGAAAAAGCUAUCCAAUACAACAGUAAAACAAACCCAUCAGGUACAGGAAGUGGAUCUGCUCCCUGAAACCCAUAAACGACCACUCUAGCUGUAUCUUAGCACAAAUAAGGAAGAGGACCAGAAAAGAAAGGAAGAAAGGAGUUAGGGAAAGAAAUCUCAAUAUUUCCCAAGGAAAUAUUGGUGGUGUUCUAGAAGAAGUGGCUAUGUUACAACAGUUGCAUCUUAGGACAUUUAUUCACUUCCAGGCUUUCAUCUCCUCUCAGUGCUGCAAGGAAUAUCCUGCUCUAAGAACACCAGUUUGAAAAGGACUGGCCAUAGAUGACUUUGGAAGACCAAAGAGUUCUGUAUUGACCUCAGUUACGUCCUUAAUACUCUCCAGCAAACAUACAAUAUUUCCGUAGUCCAUUAACUCUCCUACUCCCCUGAAAACUGUUUCAUGCCUACUCCUCCCUUCUCAAACCUCUAAAUGCCUCUGUCAUCCUCACUCCAAGCUGAUUAUUUUGCUUCCUAGUUCACUGAGAAAAUAACAGCAAUCAAAAGAAACUGCACUCAGCCUCCAGCACCACCUCCUUUUCUCCUGCAUGUGUGCCCAUCUGCUCAACUUUUCCUCCUAGCCAUGCUUCUAGUCAAAAUCAACCCCUUAGCUUGCUGCUAGAUCUUAUUUUACUCAUCUAUUGAAGGACGCUGUUCCAGUGAUUUUCUUUUAUUUCUUCUACUUUGCCUGUUUUUUCUCUAUUUGAUCACUCUCACCAACAUUCAAACAUCUUGUUUUCUCAUAUUUUUUAAAAGACUCUCUUUACUCCAAUUCCUACUAGCGAUUCCCCUUUCUCACACUUCCUUAAUAGCAACACUCUUUGAAAGAGUGUCCAUAUCCCCUGUCUCCAAUUUAUUUCCUUUUGUUCUCUCUAGACCUCACUCUAAUCAGACUUUCACCUGCACCUCUCUACAGACACUGCUCUGAUCAAGGUACCAAAACUCCUACUUUGCUAAGCCAGUGGUCAUUUCUCAGUCCUCAUUUUAUGCAAACAAUCAGUAGCAUUGGACACAAUCACUCUCUCCUCUUUGAAACACUUUUUUUCCUCCACUGAGCUUCCAGACUCUCUGCUUGUUCAGUGUUAUUACUACUUGUCUAGUCACUUCUUUUUGUUUCCCGCGAUGCUUCUUCUCAUCUCUGCAGUUUUACUCCCCAGGCUCAGUCCUUGAACCUUUUUUUUUUUUUAAUCUAUGUUUACUCCAUUGGGAAGCUCAUCCAAUCUCAGAGCUGUAAUAAAUUGGUACUUCCAGCCUGGCUCUCUCCCCUGAAACUCACACUCAUGUCUUUAUAAGACAUGAUACAUGCAUGGAAUGGAUACCUAACAGGCAUCUAAUAGUUGACAUGUCUAAACUAAACUCCUAAUAGCCUACAGCAGCAUCACAAAAACUGCAUCUCCCACAGUCUUCCCCAUCUCAGCAAGUAGCAACUCUUAGUUCAAGUCAAAACUCCUUGCAGUUUCCUUGAGUCCUCUUUUUUCAUACCCCCAUUCUAAACAUACAAAAAAUCCUAUUGGUUUUACAUUCACAACACACCAAGAAUCCCAUCACUUCUCAUUGCUUCUACUGCUGCCGUUAUAGUCUGAGCCACCAUCAUCUUUUGCCUGGAUUAGUGCAGUAGCCUCCUAACUGUUCUCCUCUUUCCGUCUUUGACCUUUUCUAGUCUAUUCUCUACACUGUUUUAAUGAAGCAAUAAAGUUAUUUCAUUAAAACAUGCCAAAUGGCACUCUCUCCUCAACAUCUCCCCAGAGUCUUCUCUCAUGCCUCCUGGUACCCUGCUCCUCAUUUAUUCCAUCCACUCCAGCUAUACUGGUUUCCUUGUUACUUUUUGAGAAUAUAAGACAUGCUUCGAUGUCAGCACCUUUACAUUUGCUGUUUCCUCUCCCUGAAAAUGCUUUCAUUCUCUCCAUGAACUGGAAGCAAAGUCAUUAUGGCUCACAUCUUCCUUCAGAUCUUUACUAGUGAAGUCUUCCAAGACUAGCCUACUUGAUGUUGCAAACCCCACCCAGCAUGCUCUACCCACCUUCCUUACUUUAUCUUCCGCUAAGCACUUAUGAUUGUCUAACAUAUCAUAUGUUUGACUUACUUAGAUUAUUUAUUGUCUGUAUCCCCCAACCUGGAAUGUAAGCUCCAUGAGGGAAGGGAGUUUUUAUUAACUGCUGUACCCCUAAAUACCUAGAAUAAGGCCUGGCACAUAGGAGUCUCAACAAAGACUUGUUGAAAGAAUAAAUGAAAUGUUUUUGCAAAUCACCUUCUUAAUGCCUGGAAAUGUUGAUUUUAGUGUUUCAUCCCCUUUACUUGGAAUAAUAAAAGAAUAUUAAGGUUGCAAUGGCUUUAGAGUUAAUCUAGUUUAAUACUGUCAUAUGACACAGAAGAAAACUUUGGCCUAGAGGAGGAAAUAAGCUUUCUGAGGUUGCACACCUAGCUCCUAGCUAAUGGCACAGCAGGGCCAGAUGCCCUGGCUCCCAGCCUGUCUCUCCUCCCACAGUACCAACCACCCCAUCCUCCUUCUGGCUUCCAUGAGUAAAACUAGCUCCUGCUAAUGCCUCUGCUUUUAUUUUGUAUCUCAUCUUUGUUAUAUCAUCUUGAUAUCUUCAUAAAUCUGCUUUUAUCUCAUUUUGCAAGAAUAUUUGUAUAAAAAUAAAAAGGGAUGAUUUCCACAGAAUUUAAACAAAACCCCUACAGACUCUACUAAAGGUUUCAUUAGAUUCUUUAAAGAUGUAUUACGUAUAAAUAUGCAAAAGAUGUGUUAGAAUUUAAACUCCAGGAAAAAAAAAUGUUUCAGAAAACAUGAUUAACAUGUUAAUAAUGGCACCUAACUCUCCAAAAAGUGUGGCAAAGAUUCAGUGAGAAAACAUACAUUGCCUGCCAUACAUGAAAGACAGAGGAAGCGUAUGCUAUAGCACAGGUUGGUGUGUGUGGGGUGUGAGACUUCUGUGAGUACUAGAGUUCCUACGUAUCCCUGUUGAUGUUACACAAUAUUGAGACCCAAUUUUCUAUCUUAAUAAAAACAUAUGUGGUGAAUUUGUAAUGGUCCAAUUUGUCACGGCAAUUUAUUAUUCUACUUCCUAGAGCACUUUAGAGAAUACUUUUUAAAUACUGAUUUAAAAAAAAAUAAAAAGAGGCACAACAUCUCCCUGAACCAGUAGGUGCCAACAGUUAUCAUCAUCUCCGUUUUGCCUAUGAUAUAAAUUAAAGCCUAAAGGUUAUUUACCUCAGUUCAAGAACAGCCAAGCAAUGGGAGAUAUGGAACCAGAAGCUCGAAUGUGUAAUUCCUAAACCUGAAUUAGUUCAUUGAGUCAGUCAGCCUUGUAAGCACUAGUAAGCAAUUCAAGAUGAAAAACUAAACAUUAUUUUUCUUUCAUACUAAAAAUUUUUCACUCUGUUCCCACAGAGAAAUAGGGUCUACAUCCCAUGGCCUUGAAUCUGGGUGGUCUCUGUGACUGUUUGGCCAGUAAAGCCAUAGCAAAAGUGAAGCCAGCCCAGAUUCCAAGUCUACACCUUAUGAAACUGGUAGCUUUCACUUUCUGUCUCUUGGAACACUCUCUCUGGAAACACUUAGUCACUAUGUAAGAAGUUCUACUACCCUAAAGCCACCCUACUAGAGAGGCCAUGUGUAGACACUCCAGACAACAAGCCCAGCUGAGCCCCACUUUCUAGCCAGUGGCAGUCAUGUGAGGAAAGCCAUCCUGACCCUCCUGACAAGCCGACCCACCAGCUGAAAACCACUGAGUGUCCU
This 7580-nucleotide long non-coding RNA is filed under the name Homo sapiens (human). RNAcentral's name for it is "LNC_000344". Lineage: Eukaryota; Metazoa; Chordata; Mammalia; Primates; Hominidae. The record is from RNAcentral.